GAACCAAAAAAGUGGUACGGGUACCAAUUUUAUCGGUGGCGUACCAAAAAUUGAGCGUAGUGUUCAAUUUUUGGUACGCCACCGAUAAAAUUGGUACCCGUACCACUUUUUUGGUUUC
Molecule: non-coding RNA, 118 nt
Organism: Paramuricea clavata
Lineage: Eukaryota; Metazoa; Cnidaria; Anthozoa; Malacalcyonacea; Plexauridae
Source: the annotation of a GenBank genome assembly